Passer domesticus (house sparrow) is the source of this 551-nucleotide long non-coding RNA. RefSeq lists it as uncharacterized. The record is from RefSeq and is a predicted model, not a curated record. NCBI's taxonomy places the organism in Eukaryota, Metazoa, Chordata, Aves, Passeriformes, Passeridae. The transcript is spliced from 3 exons.
UCUUUGCAGAAUGUCUUUUUUAGUCCUGGCCCCUGUGAAAUGCUGCUGGUGCUCUUCUGUCUUCACUGUUUCCAUGGUAGCCGAUCCCAUCCUUCAGUGACUUUCUCGUCAGUGGCCUAAACAAAAUCUAGAACUGAGCUGUCAUAAUUAAAUGGAAGGCAGUUUAUGAUAUUUUUGAAGACUUGGUGGUAUUACAGGGAAAAAGUACCCCGCAGCUAAAACUGGGAGCCAAGAACUAGUUAAUUACCUGAAACACAUCAUGGAACAGCAUCCUGGAAGCUGCAAGACAGGUUUUUGCUCGUUGCCAAAUUGGGACUGCAGCGCUAAUGGCAGCUCCGUAUCAUUAGUGCACAGACUCAGGUGAAGUGGAUUUUAGCUACGUGUAUCCAGACUGAAGAUUUGACAGAAGUGAGCUGUGCCUGUGCUUAGGUUGUAAAGCUCAGCACUCAGAGGUAAAAAGGCAGUAAAGUGAGAAUGUUUUUUGUAGUACUUACCGAGCUGUUUCCUACUUCUUUCUCCAUUGCUGAAUGUGACUCAUUAUUAGCUGGGUU